CAGCAGCCGCGGUAAUACGAAGGGUGCAAGCGUUAAUCGGAAUUACUGGGCGUAAAGCGUGCGUAGGCGGUUUGUUAAGUCUGUUGUGAAAUCCCCGGGCUCAACCUGGGAAUGGCAAUGGAUACUGGCAAGCUAGAGUGUGUCAGAGGAUGGUGGAAUUCCCGGUGUAGCGGUGAAAUGCGUAGAGAUCGGGAGGAACAUCAGUGGCGAAGGCGGCCAUCUGGGGCAACACUGACGCUGAGGCACGAAAGCGUGGGGAGCAAACAGGAUUAGAUACCCCGGUAGUCCCUGUCUCUUAUAC
Molecule: ribosomal RNA, 301 nt
Filed under: uncultured bacterium
Lineage: Bacteria
Description: partial 16S ribosomal RNA
Rfam family: Bacterial small subunit ribosomal RNA
Source: RNAcentral